This 789-nucleotide ribosomal RNA is filed under the name Methanoculleus sp. enrichment culture clone A5_16. Its description in RNAcentral is "bacterial SSU rRNA". It matches the Rfam family "Archaeal small subunit ribosomal RNA", at positions 85 to 879 of the family's 1478-position model. Lineage: Archaea; Methanobacteriati; Methanobacteriota; Methanomicrobia; Methanomicrobiales; Methanomicrobiaceae. The record is from RNAcentral.
ACUGCUCAGUAACACGUGGAUAACCUGCCCUAAGGAAGGGGAUAACCUCGGGAAACUGAGGAUAAUACCCUAUAGGUUACAGACGCUGGAAUGCCCUGUAACCGAAAGUUCCGGCGCCUUAGGAUGGAUCUGCGGCCGAUUAGGUUGUUGUUGGGGUAACGGCCCAACAAGCCGAUAAUCGGUACGGGUUGUGGGAGCAAGAGCCCGGAGUUGGAUUCUGAGACAUGAAUCCAGGCCCUACGGGGCGCAGCAGGCGCGAAAACUUUACAAUGCGGGAAACCGUGAUAAGGGAACCCCGAGUGCCUGUAUAUGCAGGCUGUCCAGGUGUCUAAAAAACACCUGAAGAAAGGGCCGGGCAAGACCGGUGCCAGCCGCCGCGGUAAUACCGGCGGCUCGAGUGGUGGCCACUUUUAUUGGGCUUAAAGCGUUCGUAGCUGGGUUGUUAAGUCUCUUGGGAAAUCUGACGGCUCAACCGUCAGGCGUCCAAGGGAUACUGGCAAUCUUGGAACCGGGAGAGGUGAGGGGUACUUCGGGGGUAGGAGUGAAAUCCUGUAAUCCUCGAGGGACCACCUGUGGCGAAGGCGCCUCACCAGAACGGCUUCGACAGUGAGGGACGAAAGCUGGGGGAGCAAACCGGAUUAGAUACCCGGGUAGUCCCAGCCGUAAACGAUGCACGUUAGGUGUAUCGGUGACCACGAGUCACCGAGGUGCCGAAGGGAAACCGUGAAACGUGCCGCCUGGGAAGUACGGUCGCAAGGCUGAAACUUAAAGGAAUUGGCGGGGGAGCAC